UACGUAGGGACCGAGCGUUGUCCGGAAUCAUUGGGCGUAAAGAGCGUGUAGGCGGCCAGGUAGGUCCGCUGUGAAAACUCGAGGCUCAACCUCGAGAUGUCGGCGGAAACCAUCUGGCUAGAGUCCGGAAGAGGAGAGUGGAAUUCCUGGUGUAGCGGUGAAAUGCGCAGAUAUCAGGAAGAACACCCGUGGCGAAGGCGGCUCUCUGGGACGGUACUGACGCUGAGACGCGAAAGCGUGGGGAGCGAACAGG
Molecule: ribosomal RNA, 253 nt
Filed under: uncultured bacterium
Lineage: Bacteria
Description: partial 16S ribosomal RNA
Rfam family: Bacterial small subunit ribosomal RNA
Source: RNAcentral